This 265-nucleotide ribosomal RNA is filed under the name uncultured bacterium. RNAcentral's name for it is "partial 16S ribosomal RNA". It matches the Rfam family "Bacterial small subunit ribosomal RNA", at positions 133 to 413 of the family's 1533-position model. The record is from RNAcentral.
UUGGCCUGGAAUAACACGAGGAAACUUGUGCUAAUACCGGAUAAGUCUUUACGGAGAAAGCUUUAUGCACCAUUGGAUGAGCCUGCACUUGAUUAGUUUGUUGGUGGGGUAAUGGCCUACCAAGACUGUGAUCAAUAGCUGAUUUGAGAGGAUGAUCAGCCACAUUGGGACUGAGACACGGCCCAAACUCCUACGGGAGGCAGCAGUGGGGAAUCUUGCACAAUGGAGGAAACUCUGAUGCAGCGAUGCCGCGUGAGUGAAGAAG